Molecule: ribosomal RNA, 253 nt
Filed under: uncultured bacterium
Lineage: Bacteria
Description: partial 16S ribosomal RNA
Rfam family: Bacterial small subunit ribosomal RNA
Source: RNAcentral
UACGGAGGGUGCAAGCGUUAUCCGGAUUCACUGGGUUUAAAGGGUGCGUAGGUGGGGAUGUAAGUCAGUGGUGAAAUCUCCGUGCUUAACAUGGAAACUGCCAUUGAUACUAUGUUUCUUGAAUCUUCCGGAGGUCAGCGGAAUAUGUCAUGUAGCGGUGAAAUGCUUAGAUAUGACAUAGAACACCAAUUGCGAAGGCAGCUGACUACAGGGGCAUUGACACUGAGGCACGAAAGCGUGGGGAUCAAACAGG